RNAcentral lists this ribosomal RNA (395 nucleotides) under uncultured bacterium. RNAcentral describes it as "partial 16S ribosomal RNA". It matches the Rfam family "Bacterial small subunit ribosomal RNA", at positions 523 to 918 of the family's 1533-position model. The record is from RNAcentral.
AUACGUAGGGUGCAAGCGUUAAUCGGAAUUACUGGGCGUAAAGCGUGCGCAGGCGGUUUUUGAAGACAGUGGUGAAAUCCCCGGGCUCAACCUGGGAACUGCCAUUGUGACUGCAAGGCUGGAGUGCGGCAGAGGGGGAUGGAAUUCCGCGUGGAGCAGUGAAAUGCGUAGAGAUGCGGAGGAACACCGAUAGCGAAGGCAAUCCCCUGGGCCUGGACUGACGCUCAUGCACGAAAGCGUGGGGAGCAAACAGGAUUAGAUACCCUGGUAGUCCACGCCCUAAACGAUGUCAACUGGUUGUUGGGGAUUUAUUUUCUCAGUAACGAAGCUAACGCGUGAAGUUGACCGCCUGGGGAGUACGGCCGCAAGGUUAAAACUCAAAUGAAUUGACGGGG